GUAUAUGUGAAUUUUUCUGUUUUUUUUUUUUUACCAUUCAUUUAUCUUAUUUUUACAAAAUUUUAUUGUGCAUAAGUCACACGCGUGUGUAAUAUACAGCUUUUCAAACGUCACGACGUGAUUGUUCACUUCCUGCAAAAGUUGAACCGUCUCCCUGUCGCGUGUACUUUUAUUUUUCGUUUCACGGGGUCCGUUCUUUUUUUUUGUAAAAAUCGGCGUUCGAUAAGUUAUAGCGGUUGAUUUUUGUGCGGCUAUUCCCUUGAUUUUUCGAUUAUCGGUUAUUUUAUUUUAUCGACUACGCAUGGCUGGUUUGACGAUAAUAUAUUUCAUAAAUCCGCAACCGUUUUGCAAUAAUUAUUUUUCAUUAUGAACUGACAGUUGCAAUUACAGUGAGAGACCAGCAAUUAGAGCGUCACAUCGGUUGAAUAGAAAAUAGUGACGUUGAUAUAAUUUGCAAAAAAAUAAGAAAAUCAAUUGCAGUCAAGUGUGUCGCAAAUUGGAGAAAAAAAAAAAAAAAAAAAACAAACAAAACGAUAGAAACAAAUAGAAUAAAAUAAUUAAAUGAUGAGAAAAAAACGAAGACUAUAAGCUGGCGAGUGCAAAAAUGUCGAUCGGUUAUAAUUGCGGAGAAUCUAGUAUGAUUGUUCUUUCCGGUUUAUACGUGUGUGUGUGUGUGAUGAAUUUCAUUUUAUAAAAUGGCACAACGACGUUCCGAGAAUAUAUAUAUAUUUAUACGGUGGUUGGGUUUUUGACUCCCCUCGAUUUUCUGGAACUCGUUGAUGUUUUUAACAUUGUUUCCGUUUCGCGGCAUCUUUGACCGAACUCCUGUGAUAAUGCGCUCGAGCGGCGCGAGUUCGUUUCAAUUAUCAUUUCAGCAAACUCGACUAAUAAUUUAAUUAUUGCUGAAGAUAAAAAUAUACGAACUAUCAGAAUUUUUUACGAGGUCAACUCCGUAAUGCACGCGUGUACGUGGAGUGUAACGCGGGACUUCCAUAUAUACACACAUAUACGUAUAUUACUCGGGCGAGUUAUUAUUUCACCCGAAUCUUUAAAUAAUAAUACUAAAAACGGCCUCUGCUACGUAUAUUAUAACUUUUACCGGAAUGGCCUGGUCAUAAUGGGUAGCAUAAGCAGUUUGGAAAGUCGUCCGUACGAUAUAGCCGGAAGGCAACACGCACGAUAUUAUAAAGGUGGCCGUAGCCCAGAUCCGCGUCACGAGAAAUAACGAAUAUCAUUACAAUCGUGAUACUUGUGUGUAUAUCAUAUAAUACGUAAACGUGUACGUAAGAAUUUCUUUUCAUUUUUCUCUCUUCUACCUUUUCUCGUUCAAAAUUUUUUAUUCAAUUUCUCAAAAAUUGACGACGCAGUUCAAACUGCACACGUCACAAGAAACAAUGGGAAUCUCCAAGUUUUUAUCCUUUUUUGAGUAGGCUACGAUUCUGGAUCAUCAAACUGAAUUGAAUCUUCGUCCCCAUCGUUCGUUCCGAUUAUUUUUAACCCACGAUACGUCGUAACGCUAAAAAAUAAAGAAAAAAAAAAAACUCACCCUGUGUGUGGAUUUUGAUAUCAUGCGGUUGGUUUUUUUAUCCGAUUCUUUUUUUUUUUUUUUUGGUUUUUCACUUUAAGUAUGGUCACGAAGUUUCUUAACUGCAACACAGCCCGCAGCGAUAUACUUUACAUAUACCGAUGUACAUAGUUGUAUAGAUAUAUAUAUAGAUAUAUAAUAAGGACGCGGUGAUCAGCGGCAAUAAAAUCCACAUUACAUAACUUCAUCUUGCCUUAUAAUAACGCGUAAACACUGGCGCAUACAAAUGUGAAUGAAAAAAAAGAAAAAUCAAGUUACACGUGUACAGGUUUCGAUGCAGGUACGUGCAUAUACGUUACGUACGUCGCGCGUAUCCGUAUUACGUACCUGUAUGUAUGAAAAUUUAUGAAACUUCCUUAAUUCUGCACACCUGUUUUUUUACACGUACACGUAAACGUUUUCAACCAGCUGUGUGGAAAUAAUUUACCGAAUAAUUUUUCAAAAUCGAAAGAUAAGUGAAAAAAAAAAAGAAGAAGAAGAAGAAGGAGAAGGAGUGUACGACUCGACGCAGUCGUGUCGAGAGAAAAAGAGAGAAAGAAAAGAGAAAAAAAUUUGUGUGAACAUCAGUCGGAGGUUAAUCAGGUUUAUUAUAUCUCACGUAUAAAAAGCGUCAGUAUUUUUUCUCCUUUCUCUUUUUAUCUUUUUCCAUAUUAGCCACGUGUAUUAUAUUCUCGAUUAUCUACGAUAACUGUGUUCUUAGGGUCACGCCCCCCCUUCCCAUCAAUCCCGUCAGUUACUCUAAUUUUCAUCUUUGACCGCACGUUUCUCCGCUCGUUUAAUUCCUCGACUUCAUAUUGUAUACAUGUAUAUUCACGAAUCGGACACCCGAUUCGACUCCUCCGUCGAAACUCGAUCGUACGAAUCGAGGGGAUUUCUUCGCGUUGCACAGGCGAAAUUACAACAACGGUGGACCCGCGGAUCUUCAUCUCGGAUCGCAUUACAUUUUGUAAAUUACAUUAUUAUUACCUUCGUAUAUACAGCUGGGGCGUCAUUUAAAAAGGCGAAAGGGAAUUAAAGUCGAGCUUUUGUCCGAUGGUAAAUUUUUUUUUCAUUUUUUUUCUUUCUUUCUCUGUUUUAUUUCAUUCGGGCGCGACGUAUAGCGCGGCGUCGCCUCAUUCCUGAGUAAUCGUUGGACGCCGGUACGAGUUAUCCUGGGCCCGUAAGAAUUCUCUCUCUCUCUCUCUCGGGUCUCCUCAUGAGAAGAUCCCCUCGACACCGGGAGACCGCCAUUUUCUAAAUGUUCGUUGUAUAUAGGGUCCCGUACAAGAGAUAUAACUGGUUUUCAUUUGACUUUCUUAUAUACCAUGUGCCACACCUCUGCCCCCAUGAUCGAUGCGCAUUGGGAUAUAUUUUAUUUCUCUUCUUAUAAUUUCAAUUUCCAAUCUAAUCCCCAUUAAUCAAUGUUACCGAUUGAAGAAAAAAAAACAAUAAUGAAACGAAUGAAAAAAUAAUUAUCAAAAGCGAUUGGGAACCGAAAUAGGUAUACGUGUUCCGAGGUCAGGGGUUCGAAAAUUUGAUGUAAAAUUUGAAUGAAUUAUUGUAAAACUAUUUUUGCUUUUUUCGAAUAAAUUAUCUAUUAAUUUUUUAUUCGAGAGAGCGCGUUCGACUCGGGAUUUGAGAUCGAAGAAGAAGGGAUGUCGUUGCCCCUCGUAAUUUCAAGUCUAACGUAACGAUAAUUCUUCGACUAAACUUAGCCGCAUGGUUCAAUAAGUGAGUUAUUUCAUCGGAUUAAAACGUCUUGCACCGUGCGUUCCGGGAAGGCGUUGCAGUCGCUUACGCGGUAUGCGAUGAAUUAAAUUUAGGUUACCGCAAUGAUUACAGCGAAUUUCUGGGAUCCGGAGGUUGACGUACUUCGCCAUCCAACGAAUCACACGUGAUGCAAUUACGUCCGUUCAACGCGCUCCAGUCGAACGCCGGGGCCGAAUGACGCUCUCGAUUUUCAAAUUUCCAACAGAUCCUAUGCGACUCCAUCCGAUACGUCGUUUAAUUUUUCCAUCGCUAGACGUCGUAACGUCAACGUGUCGCCUGUUCGUAUAUCAUUUAUCUCGUCGCGUAACAUAUUUACAGAGAAUGCAAAAAAAAAAAAAACAAAAAACAAAAAACGCCCAUGAAAACAUAAAGAAUUAACAAAAAAUAAGCACGGAAAAAAAAAAAGGCACUGAGAUGCGCAUAGCUUGUCUGACAAGUAGUUCGCGUGACGAGUAUACUUACACAUUAGUUGAGAGGGUUUAAUCACUGUCCAACGAUCUGCGAGAGAUAACACUGACUACGUUUUAAUUACUCCAGUGCACCGGGGAACGCGAGCGCAUACGUACAUAAUGUACGAUACACAAAUUUUACGUAAAAUAUUGCACACAUUUUAUCUGUUCGUAAUUAUUCGCGACAGACGCAGCGAACGAUAGUGGCGUAGAAAAAUAAUAAAAUUGAAAAGAAAAAAAAAGGAACGAAAGAAAAAUGCAGAAUGCGAAAUGAUCGGACGGUUCACCGACCGAUCGGAUCGUUUCCAAGGUUCGCGAAAAAACGAACGAAUCUAAGAAAAGUGUGAAUUUUUUUUUCUCGUUCGCAGACGUAGUUUCAAUAAUAGUUUCAUCGGAAUUUGCAUCGGUUCGAAUACCGGCGCUAUACCGAUCCGCGUGAAAUGUGUGUAUAUAUACCUGUGUGUGCGCCGCGAUUAUUAUCUCCGACCUCGGAAUUUUUGAUCGCGUGUUCGCGGGGUUUUUUUUUCUCUUCACAAAAAUUCACGCGGAAAGCCACCGUUCGCGAGCGUCGAUUCUAAGAUCUACGAUUCGAAUUCCACCUUCUUUUUGUGAGGAAAUUAUUUAUACAGCUGAUCUCUGUACGGACACUGUAUAGGUACGUAAGCAAGGCGUGCAACGAACUCGAUGGGCAAUAAAUCCAAUCUCUCGAUCCACGAGCGAUUACGUUGUACAACCUUUGGAAAAAAAAUCAUACAGGUCAUUCCACGUCCCUUAUCACUCUCAUUUUUCAUUAGCGAUUUUUUCUUUCCUCUCCCGCGACGACAGAAAAAAAUCCCAUUGACGAAAAAUUUACACCAGAUCGUUGGAAAAUUGUGUACAUUGAUUUGAUCGUGAAGAGAAGAGGAAAUUCCGAAGAGUGGAAAGAGAAAGAAUUUUCGUUUCUGAACUGCCGUAAAACGAGAAGGAAAACAAAUCGCAAAACGAAGUGGCGGAAGUUCCGGUCCACGCGAGAGGCCCAUCGGGACGAAUUUUCGAACGUAAGCAGCGUAGAUAAGCUGAGAAACUUACGGGGAUCGGAGGAAUACGUAGUAGGCGAGUCCUCCGUAGCAUCGGCAACGGAGUAAAUAUAUAUUGAAACAAGUAGGUGUAUCGCGCCUGUUCGCGAGCGGUCGCGCCUCGUUCCCACGUCCCAAGGAAUCGUAGAGCCCGGGAGUAUCCAAACGGGGAUAAUUAUGGUCCGGACCGACGUCGCGGUGUGCGAGGGCACUUCGGUUGGCCGCUGCUGCCGCUGCUCCUACCGCUGCUGCUGCUGCUGCUGCUGCUGCUGCAGGAAUUACCCGAGCCCACUUCUAUUCCACAUACAAUAAGUCCGAAGCACGUUGAAAACCGUCUAGGAAAUUUAUCCCCCGCUUAUUCCUCGGACACGACCGAGCCGCGAGCAGCCGAUCGUCGAAAAAUAAAAAAUCCUAAUGAAAGUAGAGGGAGAAAAAAAAGGAAACGAAAAAAUUAAUAAGAAACGAAACGAACAGUUUCAUUCAAGUUUCAACAUAUAUAUAUUAUAAUACGUGCGUUGGUACGUACCUACCUUACGGAAUCUAUGGGUAUGUACAUCGUAUAUACGUAUAUGUGAUGUGCGUGAUGGAGAACACAGAUGUUUGACGUUUAUUCACAAUUUUUGGAGAAUAUUAUGCCGUAAUAUUUCGUGCGCUGUGUAUAUGUAUGUAUGUAUAUAUCGAAAUUAUAAAGUCAAAGUUCGUACGGAUCUGAAAUAAUUUUGUACGAGGGUCGACUCAGUUUUUACAUAGGGUAAGUGUGUGCUCGUAAUAGCCAUUGUACGUACACGCAUUGAGUAAUUAGAAGUGUUUAGGUAGGGUGAUGAUUAUUUUCCAACUGUAUAAUACAUCGCAGAUCCGGAGGUAACGCGUAGCAAUUAAGGGCUAGUUGUACGAAUGAGGUAUCGCGUCGCGCCUCUAAGCGUAAUAAACUUCAUCAUCAUCAUCGUCGUCGUCAUUAUCAUUAUCGUCAUUAUCACCGUACCGAGUGGGUUACACGUAUACGGUAUACCUACAUUGUAUUAUUCCAGGACAUACUAACAACGUAUCAAAAAACCGAACCCAACGGAGCUGCACGAGAAAAAAAAAGGCACCUCGACAAGAUCUGCGUUACAUUCGUACGAAAAUAAUCUGAAUUCAUAAAAUUUUUCAUAAGUUUGUUGUUUUUUUUUUUUUUCUUUUAGUCUUCUCGUUACCGCGGAUAUUAUCUGUACACCAUAACCGCUCUAAUUGCAACGACUAAUAAUUAGCCAGGUACCUACUUUUGUAAACAUUUUUUUUUCAAGAUACAGGUAUAAAAGAAACCUUCGUCGGUCAUUACGGUUGUGGCGGUAUAGGUAGAGUGGCGUUACGUAUACCAACGUAACUCGGAAACGUGUGCGAAACACGCGAUCUCAGGUAUUUUUUCCCCAUAAAUAAAUAAAAUAGAUAUCGUUGGUCGUGUACGCGGUGACUUUUUUUUUACAAAUAUAAAAAUUUUUGAAACGUUAAAAAUAACCGGUUCGGUUCGAGGCAAUGGGUAUAUUUAUCACACGAUUUUACGAAGGAAUUAAACACGAGUUACGAUCUGCACCGAUCGCUUAAUUUUAUCGCCGUUACACAGAGAAAAUGAUAAAAAAAAAAAAUAAUUAAUGGCACAAAAAUUUCAAUCCACCGACACGAAGCGUUUGGAAAAAAAAAUUGGUGUGUCUGUCGCAUCGGAAAGAACGGUGCACGGAAAAUGGACGAUGAUCAUCGGGCGUAUUGUGGUAGAAGUGUACAUACACCGCAGGGGAUAUAAUGUGCAGUGAUUAUCUUGUAAAGUAGAGGAGCUACGACGCGUACUUUGUUCGUGACAAUUUUCUCCCUACACCGCAGAAUACAAACGUUAUAAACUGUGUACCGUGUCUCGUGUACCUUACUGAUAUAUCGUGACACGUAAACGCGCGGCAAAGAUUAGGAUUAUAUUAUUAACCCCCUUAAUUCAGCCUUCAUGCGCGUUAAUCUAGUACGAUUCUAAUCCGAGCGAGAUAAUAUUCCGGGCAUUCGCUUUUUGAGAAUUGUGACAGAUUUCGUUUGAGAUUUGUUGUUGUUUUUUUUUUUCAAUUCUAGUCGAGGCAAAAAAAAAAGGGAAAUAACUGAGACACUUUCUCCGACGGACGCAGCGGUACAGAGUUGCGAUUCGGGCAGCGAAGUAAUUCAGGAAACGUCCAGACUCGUACAUAUCGUUAACGGGUUUGGUUAUAUUGCCGUGAGAGCGCGGGUGAUAUAAUAAAAAAAAGUCCUUGACAAAAUAGUAGAAAAAUUUGGCUUUGAGUGACACACACGAAACGUACCUAUAGUAUAGCGCGUGUCGCGUGCGUUUUUUCAUACCGCACACGUACCGAUGUUAAAAAAAUAGCGAAAAUAUUCAGAGAAAUGAAGAAACUAGAGAGUCGGAAUUUUUUCCAUCGGUAUUUGCAGAGGUUUUUUUUCGACCGAGAGUUUUCAAGUUCAGCCGGACAGUCCGCGGUCCCUAUAGCGGGUUCAUUACGACGGGUUAAUUAGAGAAAAAUUGCCGGGCAAAUUUUCAACUCGUGCGCGGUGGUGGGCCCUUUCGAGGUGGAGCAACGGCAGGCAGGCAGGCAGAAUCGGCCACUCGGAUGACCACCAGAGUGGAAAGAUUACGAAGCGAGCGGAUGCGGAUGAGCCAGAGGAUGAAUGAAGAACGGAGAAUGGCGAGUGAUGGAGGUCCGCCGUUCGGAUCGAGCAAAACGUAAGACGCACACGCGUUCGAAGUGUCUCGAGAGAGAGAGACGAAGUGGGAGAGAAGGAAAGAAAGAAAGAAGAAAAAAAAACGAUGAAAAGUCGAAACGACCGGCCAUUUUUUGAAAAUAGGGAAAGAAAAUUUUCAUCAUACCAUGGAACGUCUCGCUCGAUAAAAUAGCGGCGUAAAAACUUGUGAAUUAAAAAUUCCACAAGUUUUUCCUUAAGAAUCGGGCGUAGCAAAUUUCAUGAAAUUACCUGCACGAAGAAGCAUCAGAUUUAUUCCAGAUAACAUUAUACCAUGCGAAUCCAUCGUAUCCUGUGCGCCAUAUCCAUGGGAUUCGCGUAACGUUCCUCGCUAUUGAUGGUAAAUACUGAUCCAUUUCUGACGCAGCUGUUGAAGCUCGAGGGAUUUUUUUUUUCUCUACAGCGGCGGUACGAGGCGGACGCGAUUGCUCGAUUAAUUCCACCUCGUGGUGCUGCACAUUACGGUAUUACGGUCUCUCGGAAUCCGGUACACGAUCGAUAAAAUCUUUCCUCUUACAGUCUGGCCUCCGCCGUACAUCGCGGAAUGAAUGAGCGAUCGAGCAACGAAUCGCACAGUCGGGUUGUUUGAAAAUUGAAACGCGAAUCGACGAAAAAAAAAAAAAAGGAUUUUCUCUCUUUCUUUCCCUCGCGAUUUUCCAAAGCAUAGUUUCGUUUUCGAAUAAGAUACGAAAAAUAAAAUACUGCUGACGAAGCGGCAAUCCCGUUUCAACGAUUCUUCGCGGUCUGCCUCUGCUACAUAUACGGUGAGGUAAGUACCGCUGAAAAUUCCGAAAAUGGCGAACGCCCGAAGAUCCGGUGGAAGUGGCGAAGAGAAAAGGAACGGUAUUUGAGAAAAAAAAAAAAAAAAAAAAAACGAAACGAACAAGAUGGAGAGAUACAGAGUCGGAAAACGAGGGUAGGUACCAGAUAUAGCCUAGGCUACGACGUGACCGCGAAAGAAUCGAUGCGAACUUUUGCACAGGCGACGACUGUACGUAGCCCCACUCGGGUUUGCUGACUCGGUGUUUUCGUAAUUCCUUUUUCACGAAACAUUAGGCAUCGCCGCUUAUCCGAUCUUUUUCAUUUUUUUUCUCUCCACCCGUUUUCCGUCGUCCACCUAUUUCUUCACACCGGCUAGGCUCCUCGACUUUUCUUCGCCCUCACCUGAACGGUAUGGAUCUUGGGAAUUUUUUUUUUUUCCUUUCAAAAUUUAUUCAAGUUUAUUCGAAGUGUUCAAAUAUUUAGAUCCUCCGGUCGUAGAGCUUCCGCGGUCCGAAAAUCGUUGACAAACGAACGGACGAACUGAAAUGCGGUGGGAUUUCCAUAAACGACGCUCGAACGAACGGCUACUGUGCUAUUUUUUCCCUUCUUCGUAGUGGGAAAAGUCGGACAACAAAAGCUGAUAGGAAAAAAAAGGAUGAGGGAGAGAAAAAAAAGAAUACACACCCGUGAAAACGGACCGCUCCACUUGAACGGAGAGAGAGCAAACAGCUCCAUAAAAAGUCCCUUAUAUUCCUGCAGAUCCGAUAGCCCGGUGCGGGUGAAUAAGUCCAGGGGGUUCAUCUAUACUAUCCUAUAAAAUUCACCCCGCGGUGAUCUCAUGAAGAAAUAAAAA
Athalia rosae (coleseed sawfly) is the source of this 9201-nucleotide long non-coding RNA. RefSeq lists it as uncharacterized. The transcript has 2 exons. The record is from RefSeq and is a predicted model, not a curated record. Lineage: Eukaryota; Metazoa; Arthropoda; Insecta; Hymenoptera; Athaliidae.